GAAGUUCCAUGGCCAAAAGGGAAAGAGCCCAGACCGCCAGCUAAGGUCCCUAAAUCAGCACUAAGUGGAGAAGGAUGUGGGGGCACACAGACAGCCAGGAGGUUGGCUUAGAAGCAGCCAUCCUUUAAAGAAAGCGUAAUAGCUCACUGGUCAAGUGAACCUGCGCCGAAAAUAUAACGGGGCUAAAGUGCUGUACCGAAGCUGCGGAUUGACGUGAUCCUUCGGGAUCACUCAGUGGUAGGCGAGCAUUCCAUGGGCGGUGAAGGCGGACGGCAACGACCGUUGGAGCGCAUGGAAGAGCUUAUGCAGGCUUGAGUAGCGAUAAAACAGGUGAGAAACCUGUUCGCCGUAAGCCCAAGGGUUCCUGGGUCAAGUUAAUCUUCCCAGGGUUAGUCGGUCCCUAAGCCGAGGCCGAAAGGCGUAGGUAAUGGGUAUCAGGUUAAUAUUCCUGAACCACGACGGAUGGUGCUGCAGGAGGGACGGAGGAGGGUAGCUGAGCCGGGUUGUUGGAUUGUCCGGUUCAAGCCUGUAGAGGGAUUCGCUAGGAGGCCUAGUGCCACAAACGGCGAGUCAACCUUGAGAGGUGAUGAGGAGAGCGCUUGCGCUCAUAAACUCAGUAAUCCCAAACUUCCGAGAAAAGCUCCGGCAGAGUUAACCGCUGUCGUGACCGUACCGCAAACCGACACAGGUGGGCGAGGAGAAGAUCCUAAGGCGCUUGAGAGAACCCUGCUUAAGGAACUCGCAAAAUGACACCGUAACUUCGGGAGAAGGUGUGCCCCUGAGGGUGAUGGACUUCGCGUCCGGAGCUCGCGGGGGUUGCAGAGAAUCGGGGGUAGCGACUGUUUACCAAAAACACAGCACUCUGCUAAGUCGCAAGACGACGUAUAGGGUGUGACGCCUGCCCGGUGCUGGAAGGUUAAGAGGAGAAGUCAGCCGCAAGGCGAAGCUUCGAAUCGAAGCCCCAGUAAACGGCGGCCGUAACAAUAACGGUCCUAAGGUAGCGAAAUUCCUUGUCGGGUAAGUUCCGACCUGCACGAAUGGCGUAACGACUUCCCCACUGUCUCAAGCAGGGACUCAGCGAAGUAGCACUAGGGGUGAAGAUACCCUUUACCCGCAGCAGGACGGAAAGACCCCGUGAACCUUUACUAUAACUUGACACUGAUUUUCGAAGCACUUUGCGUAGGAUAGGUGGGAGGCUGCGAUUUCGGGAUUCCGGUCUCGGAGGAGCCAACGUUGAAAUACCACCCUGAUUGCUUUGGAACUCUAACCUGCACCCGUCAGCCGGGUGGGGGACAAUGUCUGGUGGGUAGUUUGACUGGGGCGGUCGCCUCCCAAACAGUAACGGAGGCGCGCGAAGGUCCCCUCAGGCUGAUUGGAAACCAGCCGUUGAGUGUAAUGGCACAAGGGGGCUUGACUGCGAGACAAACAAGUCGAGCAGGUACGAGAAAAAAAAAAGGAGAUAAAGCGACAGGCAGG
RNAcentral lists this ribosomal RNA (1476 nucleotides) under metagenome. RNAcentral describes it as "bacterial LSU rRNA". It matches the Rfam family "Bacterial large subunit ribosomal RNA", at positions 999 to 2434 of the family's 2925-position model. The record is from RNAcentral.